GACGAACGCUGGCGGCGUGCUUAACACAUGCAAGUCGAACGGAAAGGCCCUGCUUUUGUGGGGUGCUCGAGUGGCGAACGGGUGAGUAACACGUGAGUAACCUGCCCUUGACUUUGGGAUAACUUCAGGAAACUGGGGCUAAUACCGGAUAGGAGCUCCUGCUGCAUGGUGGGGGUUGGAAAGUUUCGGCGGUUGGGGAUGGACUCGCGGCUUAUCAGCUUGUUGGUGGGGUAGUGGCUUACCAAGGCUUUGAAGGGUAGCCGGCCUGAGAGGGUGACCGGCCACAUGGGGACUGAGAGACGGCCCAGACUCCUACGGGAGGCAGCAGGGGGGAAUAUUGCACAAUGGGCGGAAGCCUGAUGCAGCAACGCCGCGUGCGGGAUGACGGCCUUCGGGUUGUAAACCGCUUUCGCCUGUGACGAAGCGUGAGUGACGGUAAUGGGUAAAGAAGCACCGGCUAACUACGUG
RNAcentral lists this ribosomal RNA (468 nucleotides) under uncultured bacterium. RNAcentral's name for it is "partial 16S ribosomal RNA". It matches the Rfam family "Bacterial small subunit ribosomal RNA", at positions 28 to 507 of the family's 1533-position model. The record is from RNAcentral.